UACGGAGGAUCCGAGCGUUAUCCGGAUUUACUGGGUUUAAAGGGUGCGUAGGCGGGCGCCUAAGUCAGCGGUGAAAUGCAGCGGCUCAACCGUUGAACUGCCGUUGAAACUGGGCGCCUUGGAUGCGGUCGAGGCCGGCGGAAUGCGUGGUGUAGCGGUGAAAUGCUUAGAUAUCACGCAGAACGCCAAUUGCGAAGGCAGCUGGCCGGGCCGCAAUCGACGCUGAGGCACGAAAGCGUGGGGAUCAAACAGGAUUAGAUACC
RNAcentral lists this ribosomal RNA (263 nucleotides) under uncultured bacterium. RNAcentral's name for it is "partial 16S ribosomal RNA". It matches the Rfam family "Bacterial small subunit ribosomal RNA", at positions 524 to 786 of the family's 1533-position model. The record is from RNAcentral.